RNAcentral lists this ribosomal RNA (797 nucleotides) under uncultured Stenotrophomonas bacterium. RNAcentral's name for it is "bacterial SSU rRNA". It matches the Rfam family "Bacterial small subunit ribosomal RNA", at positions 69 to 857 of the family's 1533-position model. The record is from RNAcentral. Lineage: Bacteria; Pseudomonadati; Pseudomonadota; Gammaproteobacteria; Lysobacterales; Lysobacteraceae.
GCACAGGAGAGCUUGCUCUCUGGGUGGCGAGUGGCGGACGGGUGAGGAAUACAUCGGAAUCUACUUUUUCGUGGGGGAUAACGUAGGGAAACUUACGCUAAUACCGCAUACGACCUACGGGUGAAAGCAAGGGAUCUUCGGACCUUGCGCGAUUGAAUGAGCCGAUGUCGGAUUAGCUAGUUGGCGGGGUAAAGGCCCACCAAGGCGACGAUCCGUAGCUGGUCUGAGAGGAUGAUCAGCCACACUGGAACUGAGACACGGUCCAGACUCCUACGGGAGGCAGCAGUGGGGAAUAUUGGACAAUGGGCGCAAGCCUGAUCCAGCCAUACCGCGUGGGUGAAGAAGGCCUUCGGGUUGUAAAGCCCUUUUGUUGGGAAAGAAAUCCAGCUGGUUAAUACCCGGUUGGGAUGACGGUACCCAAAGAAUAAGCACUGGCUAACUUCGUGCCAGCAGCCGCGGUAAUACGAAGGGUGCAAGCGCUACUCGGAAUUACUGGGCGUAAAGCGUGCGUAGGUGGCCGUUUAAGUCCGUUGUGAAAGCCCUGGGCUCAACCUGGGAACUGCAGUGGAUACUGGGCGACUAGAAUGUGGUAGAGGGUAGCGGAAUUCCUGGUGUAGCGGUGAAAUGCGUAGAGAUCAGGAGGAACAUCCAUGGCGAAGGCAGCUACCUGGACCAACAUUGACACUGAGGCACGAAAGCGUGGGGAGCAAACAGGAUUAGAUACCCUGGUAGUCCACGCCCUAAACGAUGCGAACUGGAUGUUGGGUGCAAUUUGGCACGCAGUAUCGAAGCUAACG